This 366-nucleotide ribosomal RNA is filed under the name Dolabella sp. DTLT2001. RNAcentral's name for it is "partial 28S ribosomal RNA". The record is from RNAcentral. Lineage: Eukaryota; Metazoa; Mollusca; Gastropoda; Aplysiida; Aplysiidae.
AAACCGUCAGAGGUAAACGGGUGGAUCCGCAAAGUCGGCCCGCGGAACUCAACUCGGCGCGCAGCUCGGGGCGUCGCGGCUCGGGAUCUCACGACCCGGCCGCGGCGCCUCGCCGGGCUCCGCCGUGUGCACUUUCCGCGGGCAGAGCGCCACGACCGGUUUCGAGGCGGCUACAAGCCUCCGAGGAAGGUAGGCGUGGGCGGCAACGCUCGCGCUGUUAAGCCUCGGGUGGCCAGCCGUCACGGGACCGAGGAACGACCGCGUCGGCCUUCGUGGCUACCCGGCCUUCCGUGGGAGUACGACUGGUGGGGACUGGGCAACCGUGCCCGCCGACCGCUCCCGCGCGACGGCCCGGGCUACGGGACA